GGCAGGGUGACGCAAUGGUUAGAGUGUUGGACUGUGACUUGGGAGACAAGGUUUUGAAUCCCUACUCAGCCA
Podarcis lilfordi (Lilford's wall lizard) is the source of this 72-nucleotide non-coding RNA. Lineage: Eukaryota; Metazoa; Chordata; Lepidosauria; Squamata; Lacertidae. The record is from the annotation of a GenBank genome assembly.